Molecule: long non-coding RNA, 780 nt
Filed under: Rattus norvegicus (Norway rat)
Lineage: Eukaryota; Metazoa; Chordata; Mammalia; Rodentia; Muridae
Description: long non-coding RNA NONRATT021302
Source: RNAcentral
AUGAGCUAAUCUAUCAGCGGCACGUCUACAGUCUUCCAAAGGGCAGAAAUAACAUGUUUCAUACGUUGUUGAUGUUCCUGUACAUCAUAAAGACCAAAGAGUCAGGAAUGCUUGGGAGAGUUAAUCUUGGGCUGUCUGGUGUGAAUAUUUUAUGGAUUUUUGGAGAGUAGUCCAUCGUUUAAUUCCAAACAUUUGGACUUUGAUUGUAAUUGGCCUGGAAGGAGUUGAAGCUAAGUAUGUCCGCGUAAGCACCUCUUCCGAAAUAAGAUGCAUGUUUUGCUGCAGACUUGUUAGAUUUCACAGGAAACAAACUGAGGGAAGCUUGUCAUGAACAUGACAAAGCCUGCGUCUUCUAUUCCAUGGAACAUUUAUUAUGUGGGGUGACUCCAAAACUGCAGUCCUGGGCUGUGAACUAGUGCGGUUCCCUUCACUUGGUGAGGGCAAGGACGCCUCUCCAUUUUAACCGCAGUGAGAAUCUGCACGUUGUUCUUUACCAUCGAGACUGGCUCUCACUGUUGGAGUAGUGUAAGUACUCAGGUGAACCUUGGUAGCUCUCUUUGUUGUAUCUUUAUUUCCCCAGUGUUCUACAAGUCAGCCUAAAGCUGAAAUGAAAUUAAUUUCUAAGUGAUGUAGUAAUUAAUCCUGCUGAGCCAUCUCCCCAGCCCCCUAUUGGUUUUUUUUAAUAUUAAAAGAGAUUUGAUAAUAUUGGGAUCUUGAAAGGUCAAUGCUUGCAUUAAAAUUAGCUGAUAAAAUUAAACUUUUGGGUUUUAGUUAAAUGUC